UACGUAGGGUGCGAGCGUUAAUCGGAAUUACUGGGCGUAAAGCGUGCGCAGGCGGUUUUGUAAGCCAGAUGUGAAAUCCCCGGGCUUAACCUGGGAAUGGCAUUUGGGACUGCAAGGCUUGAGUGCGGCAGAGGAGACUGGAAUUCCUGGUGUAGCAGUGAAAUGCGUAGAUAUCAAGAGGAACACCUGAGGUGAAGACGGGUUGCUGGGCCAACACUGACGCUGAUGCGCGAAAGCCAGGGGAGCAAACGGG
RNAcentral lists this ribosomal RNA (253 nucleotides) under uncultured bacterium. RNAcentral's name for it is "partial 16S ribosomal RNA". It matches the Rfam family "Bacterial small subunit ribosomal RNA", at positions 524 to 776 of the family's 1533-position model. The record is from RNAcentral.